RNAcentral lists this ribosomal RNA (372 nucleotides) under uncultured organism. RNAcentral describes it as "bacterial SSU rRNA". It matches the Rfam family "Bacterial small subunit ribosomal RNA", at positions 526 to 896 of the family's 1533-position model. The record is from RNAcentral.
CGUAGGGUGCGAACGUUAAUCGGAAUUACUGGGCGUAAAGUGUGCGCAGGCGGCCGAGCAAGUCGAGUGUGAAAGCCCUGGGCUUAACCUGGGAAUUGCGCUCGAAACUACUUGGCUAGAGUGUGGCAGAGGGGGGUGGAAUUCCACGUGUAGCGGUGAAAUGCGUAGAGAUGUGGAGGAACACCAAUGGCGAAGGCAGCCCCCUGGGCCAACACUGACGCUCAUGCACGAAAGCGUGGGGAGCAAACAGGAUUAGAUACCCUGGUAGUCCACGCCCUAAACGAUGAUGACUAGUUGUUGGGGGAGUUAAAUCCCUUAGUAACGCAGCUAACGCGCGAAGUCAUCCGCCUGGGGAGUACGGUCGCAAGAUUA